UUGGUGCAAAGGUCGAAAGACGAGGUUGUAUAAAAUUGAAUUGCUUUAUUUCCUGCCUCACCUGGACGAUGAUAGACAAUGAUUAACUAUUUCACUUUGACCAACCUUCUUAUUGCAGUAAAACAUUGAACGUCAUUGUUUUCACUCAUGCAGACACACACACACCGGCUUUGCUGAGGUAAAGGACACUUGAAGCUUCUCUUUCUACUCUUACCCUACGUUGUAUAGCCGCGUAUGGUCCAGUCAAGUACACACUGCAGCAACAAUACGUUUCACGUUUUGUGAAAUACUGAGAUGGGCUGAUUGGAAGUGCUCACCUGAAACUUCCUGUUUGACAUUGUCAGUUUGGACAACAAGGAAGCAGAAGCAGGCGGCUGGACUCCCCCAGCUCCAUCAUGAACGACCGACUGAUCGACUCUGAGGUAGAUUUUGCUUUUUCCAACGAAACAUUUUGGCUUUUUCUUUGUUCAGUUCUCUAUCAUAUGGUGUCAAAGACACAUUCUUCUGUCCUAUAUUUCUUUGCUUCACGUAGUAGCUGAACUUUUGUAAGAUUUAAAAAGUAGCCUACUGUGUUGUGGUGAGCCACUAAACAUUCUUUUCAGAACACAGGCUACUAUUGUUAAAUGAUUUAUUUUCAUGUUGCAUUACAUUUGCUUAGACCACCCACAACCGACCAACUGUUCCCUCAUGUAAAGUUUUCCGUGACUGUGAACAUCAAAAGUGCUGCAUGUUUUCCUCCAGUCCAGUCAAAGGUCCUGACUCAAUGCUGUAACACCAGAGCUUCUAACCCCUCGUGUGUUUUGACACAGAUGUUUUGAGCUGGCGUGAUGGACAUCUGUGGAUCUACGUGACUGUUGGAUCACGAGCACCUGCAUGAUGAUAUACCUGGUUCGCACUGCCCACUGGCAGUUCCUGGCCCUGGUGCUGGGCUGUGUGGCCUGGAUCCUCACCCUGGCCACUGCCGGCUUAAAUGAGUGGCGUCUGUGGAGCGUCCCUGACCAACCCAUGAUCACCUCGGGCGUGGCCUGGGUGGGCAUCUGGAGGGCAUGCUUCUCCAGCCAUGCUUACUCCAAGCCAGAGAACUGCUGGACCAUCCACAUAUCGGACCAGUUUUUGCCUCCUGAGAUCCCUGUGGCUCAGGUUCUGAUGAUGCUGGCGGUCAUCUGUGGACUGGCAGGGAACGUCUGCGGAUCCAUGUCUGUGAGGAUGGCCUACUUCUCUGUGGAGGAUCGAAGGAACAUCAGACUGGUGUUUGUGUUGGCGGGCGGCCUCUACAUCCUCACCGGCACUCUCACUCUGGUGCCGGUGGUGUGGAACCUCAACUCAGUGCUCACGAACAGAACCAUAGACUUCCCACCAGAGUUCUGCCUACCUAAAGCCCCAGCCCAUCAGCAAGUGGGCUCUGCCAUCGGAGUGGGCCUCCUGGCCUCCAUACUGAUGCUCUGCUGUGGGCUGACUUUUCUGUGCUACAAGCACGUCUGGGUGGACCUGAAACCUCAGCAGAGGAGAGGCAUGAUGGGACUGGACAAUCCAACCUUCAUAGAGGAGCCCACACGUACGACUGUGAUAAGCAGGGAAGGACCAACAGAGAUCUGAGGAGAUGUGGGGACGUCUGUUCCACCCUCCUGAAGGUUCUGCUUUCAUAAUGUGGACAGUAAAUACUGUGAUCUGAACCAUGAUACAUUAGAGGUGGACACAGCCAGAUUGAUCUAUCGUUCUACUGUCAUCGCUGUAUCAACGGACUUAAACCCUCAGCAUCGUUUGUCAUCAUUUGGCGCUGGCCUUACUGGAAGUGUGACGUUACAAACAUGUCCCCAGAUGUUGAGGAAGAGGAGGAAAUAUUUCACGGUUGAAGAAUUUCAUGUCAAUGCAGUUAAAGUGUCGACAAUUACUCAAAUAAAUGUCAAGAUUGAAGUCAGGUGUGAAUUUAAAAUUGGGCAUUCUUGUCAGUUACGCUGUAAACUCUCAUUGUUCAAGCGAGGAAGAAGUAAAAUAUAUAUAAAAAUAACCUUUCACUUUUACUCAAACUUUGGUCCAGUGCUAAGUCUCAGUAGCACAGUAUGGUUGGCCGCACACUAAGAGCCACAUGUCAGGGUGUUUUUCUCUGGGUGGCAGAUGAAGAUCCCUCAGCCAGCGCUGUGACGGAGCAGCACUGGCCGCCGGUCCGAGGUGUGGGCCUGGAACAUGUGAGGAGGGAUCUCAGCGGGUCAGGUUGACUGGGAGCACCGCUCAUGUGACCUGGGUAGGAGGCUGAGCGGGAGCAAGCAUGUGAGUAUGAAGACGUGAUUGUUGCCAGGAAAGUCUCACACACACACACACACACACACACGCACGCACGGCACCUCAGUGGGGGCGACUAGCGGCUGGGAAACAAAAGACCCUCUUGAGGCGAGUCCGAACAGUGGAUGAAGGGUCACACCUGCUCCGAACACUGAAGGAAGGUGCUGAGGUGAAGAAUAGUUGCUGACACGCCAUGUUUACACAGACAUGGGCUCCAAAUGAGUUUUACUGACAUUCCUUCAGAUAAGAGUCGGGAAUAAACAAUCCUUUAAAUAAUUUCCUGUAGCUCCCUCCCACUAGAGUCUCUGGGGGAAGGCCAUACAUAAUGUCCUUCUAUCUAAUCUGAGAUGCGCUGCAAUGACCUUUAUCUCUUAUUGUGGAGAAACGUCAAAUAAAAGAAGGUAAUCAUUGCCUCAUAGGAUCAUAAAAUCCUAAUUAUUUUUUAGAUCAAUCCAACAACUCUAAAAAAAGACAAGUCUCUGAAA
Molecule: RNA transcript, 2765 nt
Organism: Synchiropus splendidus (mandarinfish)
Lineage: Eukaryota; Metazoa; Chordata; Actinopteri; Syngnathiformes; Callionymidae
Gene: cldn34a
Gene name: claudin 34a
Exons: 2
Source: RefSeq, a predicted model, not a curated record